This 1210-nucleotide unclassified non-coding RNA is filed under the name Hevea brasiliensis (rubber tree). Lineage: Eukaryota; Viridiplantae; Streptophyta; Magnoliopsida; Malpighiales; Euphorbiaceae. The record is from RNAcentral.
CUUUACUUGAUCGAACAACUCAAAUUUCAGUUAUUUCAACUACAUUAAAUGAUCUUUCAAAUUGGUCAAGACUCUCCAGUUUAUGGCCACUUCUCUAUGGUACCAGUUGUUGCUUCAUUGAAUUUGCUUCAUUAAUAGGCUCACGAUUCGACUUUGAUCGUUAUGGACUAGAUCUUGGUACUAGCNAAGAUCUAGUCCUAGACAAGCGGACCUGAUUUUAACAGCCGGCACCGUAACCAUGAAAAUGGCUCCUUCUUUAGUGAGAUUAUAUGAACAAAUGCCUGAACCAAAAUAUGUUAUUGCUAUGGGGGCAUGUACAAUUACAGGGGGGAUGUUCAGUACCGAUUCUUAUAGUACUGUUCGGGGAGUUGAUAAGCUAAUUCCUGUAGAUGUCUAUUUGCCAGGCUGUCCACCUAAACCGGAGGCGGUUAUAGAUGCUAUAACAAAACUUCGUAAAAAAAUAUCUCGAGAAAUUUAUGAAGAUCGAAUUAGGUCUCAACCGGGGAAACGGUGUUUUACUACUAAUCACAAGUUUAAUAUUGAACGCACUACUCAUACUGGAAAUUAUGAUCAAGAAUUACUCUAUCAAUCGCCGUCUACUUCAAAGAUCCCUCCGGAAACAUUUUUCAAAUAUAAAAGGUCAGUAUCGUCCAACGAAUUAGUAAAUUAGAGGAAGGAUUCGUUUGUACAGAAUAACAAAGGGCAAGUCAAUCUUCAUAAAUUUCAUCGUGAAUGUGAAAUACUUAUAUUAUAAUUAUACAAAUAAAAAUGCGGGAGAGAGAAAAAAGAUGCAGGGUCGUUUGUCUGCUUGGCUAGUCAAACAUGGGCUAGUUCAUAGAUUUUUGGGUUUUGAUUACCAAGGAAUAGAGACUUUACAAAUAAAGCCCGAAGAUUGGCAUUCCAUUGCUGUCAUUUUAUAUGUAUAUGGUUACAAUUAUCUGCGUUCGCAAUGUGCCUAUGAUGUAGCACCGGGCGGGCUGUUAGCUAGUGUAUAUCAUCUUACGAGAAUAGAGUAUGAUAUAGAUCAACCAGAAGAAGUAUGUAUAAAAGUAUUUGCCCCAAGGAAGAAUCCUAGAAUUCCGUCUGUUUUCUGGGUUUGGAAAAGUGCGGAUUUUCAAGAAAGGGAAUCUUAUGAUAUGCUGGGAAUCUUUUAUGAUAAUCAUCCACGCUUGAAACGUAUCUUAAUGCCGGAAAGUUGGAUAGGGUGGCC